UCCUCCGGUGGCUGGUGCGGCUCGCCCCUAGCCUAGGGGAAGCGGUGGCCACGCCCGGCCGUGCCCCAGCACUCGAGUGGUGGCCUGGGGGGCUGCGAAGGUGGAGGCGGGGCAAGAGAAAGGGCGGCGACCUGGGAGGCUGCAGAGGCGGAGACCAAGGUGGGGCAGGAGAAGGGGCAGCGGCCUAGGUGGGCGCGACCGCCGGUGACGACAGGGAGGCCGCCGUGGUCAGGGUGGGCAGCGACAAAGCGUGGCGGACGAG
RNAcentral lists this long non-coding RNA (262 nucleotides) under Setaria viridis. Its description in RNAcentral is "long non-coding RNA (SVIR_LNC011265)". Lineage: Eukaryota; Viridiplantae; Streptophyta; Magnoliopsida; Poales; Poaceae. The record is from RNAcentral.